This is a long non-coding RNA of Ornithodoros turicata, 799 nucleotides long. RefSeq lists it as uncharacterized. The transcript has 2 exons. The record is from RefSeq and is a predicted model, not a curated record. Lineage: Eukaryota; Metazoa; Arthropoda; Arachnida; Ixodida; Argasidae.
UUCUCCGAGAGAUGGCUGUAGAUGAUGCUCCGUCUUCGUGCCACUCGCCCGCAUCAGCAUCGUGAUAUCACGUUCAUGUUUGCGAAGCGCAGUGGAGGGAGUUGUGAGACGUGUUCUUGUGAACUGGGAGUGGAAACGCGUGGGGGCAAAUGGUACGGGACUAUCUGCGUACCACGAAGCAGGAGAAGACUUCGUGAAGGAAGAAGACGAGCAGAACGAGCUGCAGAGACGACAGCGAACGCUCCGCGAAGUUUCCCUGCCUCCCAUGUUGCAUGGCUGCUGGCUUCUCACCUGAUAACAUUCAAGGUACGAGUAGUAGCUUGAAAGAGUGGGACUUACCGACGACGGAGAGGGAUACAUUGAGGCUCAUCUUGGGCUCGGUGGACACUUGGCACUCGUAGACGCCGGCGUCUUUCCUUUGCGCGUAUGUGAUCUCUAGGGUCCAAUCCUCGGACGCCUCCAGGUGGAUCGACUUGAAACGCUGGUCCGAAGUAUAAGUAUAUGUGCCCACCGUCAGGAUGUGCAGGUCGUGCUGCCGGACCCACGAUACCUGCGUAGAAAAUAAGGACCUUCACGCUAUGCUCGCAUUCGUAGACACUGACGAAGACUUCCUUUCACGAACACAUAUGGAGUGCGAAAGUGAACUGAAAGACUGCACCGUCAGAAGAGAAAGAGAGAGAAAAGUCAGUGCAAAGCACAGUGUUUUGCGCGUAAAGCGUCUGUGCCACGUCUUCUGCGAGUUCAGGGGGAUGAUUCAUGUAACCUGCACACACAUAAAACCUUCUUUUUUCUUUUUAUA